CUGCAAAUGACAUGUGCUCUAUCUGGUAGAGCACAUGUCAUUUGCAGCCACGAGACAAAGAGAGAGCAAGAUACUGCAGAUGCAUGGUCUCCCAUGCACCCAUACCAAGUCAGAACCAAAGCUGGCUAGCUAUGAUUUGAGACAGUCAUUUGCAGCCACGGGACAAAGAGAGAGCAAGACGAGGUGUACCCUGCCGGCUGUCUCCUUAUAACUACUCAACGCUGCACAGCACAGGAUUCAGCAUUCAAUCACUCAUAAUUUUAUUGUCAUUUCAUCUUUUAUGGGGGACGCCCCACUCUUAAUUUUUAUCGGCUGCUGACGUACGUAUAUAUAAGAGCACUACAAGAUACGACAGGAAAGGGGUACUGAAUUUAUAUGGAUGUAUGGAUGGUGCAACAUAGAAUGCUGGAUUUGCUAUAGGCUCUGAGUAGGCGGGGGAUGGAGUGGAGUGGACCCACCUCUGUAUUAUGUAUGAAUAUUCUGUUGCUUGUACAUUUCGUAGCAUUAUCAGUAAUUGACUCUAGAGUAGCAUCUUGUGCUUCAUCACUCAAUCUGCAGCAGUGUAUGUGAUUUUCUGACAGGAAAGGCUACUCUAAACAGAGGGAGUCGGCCACACAAGGUAUAGUCUAAUAAUUAUUGUACAGUACUUAGAUGAUCUUCUCUGUUUUGGGUCAGAUGCAAUUGCCUUGAAUCACUAGCCAGUUCUACUCUGGGCUUAAGAAAUUGUAUUUUAUUAUUGUACCAGCAUUAGGUAGUUAACUCCACUUACCUCUACUACCGUGUAGCGGGAAAGUUUGUUAUUUGAGCCCUCGAGAAAUGUUGUAUAGUUGUUCACAUUUCAAUGCCAGGAAACCACAGCUUUGCAUGUGAAAUACUGGUGUGUGGGAGUGUCUUCCAUUUAAUUAUACUGUAUUACAUGAAGUGUGAAGUGUGUUGUAAGUUUGUACAGAGAGGACUCCCAUGGUGGCAAUGAUCUGAUGAUGGCUCCACUGCUCUGAUGGACCAAUGCAGGAGAAGUUAUUCUGUAUAAUUAUUACACUAAAAUAAUUAUGCCACUGUUUGGAUCGGUUUCUGUUCUGCUCAGCUUCUUCCUCCAACUUGCUUACGCAGGCUAAGCUUAUUCUUAAUUAGUUCAUUCUUAGUUCAUUCUAUAGUCUAGUAUAUUGUCGGUUUGGUUGUUUUAUGUUUUUCACCUGGUCAUACGGAAUCACUUCAUUAAUUUUUAUACAGUGCAGACCACACCUCUAUCCACACAUUGUACCUGCACAUCCUGUAUAUAUGGGGCCACACCCCCACUCACUGUACUGAUAUGUGGUCACACCCCCAUACAUGGUAACCCUCUUGACCACACCCCAACCCAUGCAUUGUGUCGUACAUGCUGUGUACAGUACACACAUCAUCCGUGUCUUUAUCCCCACACCUAGUCGGAGGGACAGCAAGUUCUACUAAGAGCCAGCAUCACCAACUAACCAACACACUACACAGACCUACCUACCACCAGCUAGGACAGCACACCACCCGGGACAGACUCUACUAUACCAUGUAAUACGCCUUUGUAUUACGAUCAUGAUACAAUUUGCUGCCCUCCCUCGCCCAUGGAUUGAAUAAUUAUGGACACUCGCAGGAGACUGACACACAAUAAUAGACACCAAAGGGCCAGUUACUGUAUCAUGUACGAAUAUUCUGUUGCUUGUACAUUUCGUAACAUUAUCAGUAAUUGACUGUAGAGUAGCUCCCCUUUCUUCAUCACUCAAUGCAGGCAGUGUAUGUGAUUUUCUGACAGGAAAGGCUACUCUAAACAGAGGGAGUCGGCCACACAAGGUAUAGUCUAAUAAUUAUUGUACGGUACUUAGAUGAUCUUCUCUGUUUUGGGUCAGAUGCAAUUGCCUUCAAUCACUAGCCAGUUUAAAACAUUUCUUCUACUCUUGGCUUAAGAAAUUGUAUUUUAUUAUUGUACCAGCAUUAGGUAGUUAACUCCACUUAUGCAUUGACCUCUACUACUGUGUAGCGGGAAAGUUCAUUAUUUGAGCCCUCGAGAAAUGUUGUAUAGUUGUUCUCAUUUCAAUGCCAGGAAACCAUAGCUUUGCAAUUACAUGAAGUGUGAAGUGUGUUGUAAGUUUGUACAGACCCAUGGUGGCAAUGAUCUGAUGAUGGCUCCACUGCUCUGAUGGACCAAUGCAGGAGAAGUUAUUCUGUAUAAUUAUUACACUAAAUUAAUGUAUGCCACUGUUUGGAUCGGUUUCUGUUCUGCUCAGCUUCUUCCUCCAACUUGCUUACGCAGGCUAAGCUUAUUCUUAAUUAGUUCAUUCUUAGUUCAUUCUAUAGUCUAGUAUUAUUGUCGGUUUGGUUGUUUUAUGUUUUUCACCUGGUCAUACGGAAUCACUUCAUUAUUAUCAGUGCAGACCACACCUCUAUCCACACAUUGUACCUGCACAUCCUGUAUAUAUGGGGCCACACCCCCACUCACUGUACUGAUAUGUGGUCACACCCCCAUACAUGGUAACCCUCUUGACCACACCUCCACCCAUGCAUUGUGUCGUACAUGUGUGUUGUGUACAGUACACACAUCAUCCGUGUCUUUAUCCCCACACCUAGUCGGAGGGAGCAGCAAGUUCUACUAAGAGCCAGCAUCACCAACUAACCAACACACUACAAGACCUACCUACUACCAGCUAGGACAGCACACCACCCGGGACAGACUCUACUAUACCAUGUAAUACGCCUUUGUAUUACGAUCAUGAUACAAUUUGCUGCCCUCCCUCGCCAAUGGAUUGAAUAAUUAUGGACACUCGCAGGACAACUAAGAGACUGACACACAAUAAUAGACACCAAAGGGCCAGUUACUGUAUCAUGUACGAAUAUUCUGUUGCUUGUACAUUUCGUAAUGUAAUUGACUGUAGAGUAGCAUUUUGAGCUCCCCUUUCUUCAUCACUCAAUCUGCAGGCAGUGUAUGUGAUUUUCUGACAGGAAAGGCUACUCUAAACAGAGGGAGUCGGCCACACAAGGUAUAGUCUAAUAAUUAUUGUACAGUACUAGAUGAUCUUCUCUGUUUUGGGUCAGAUGCAAUUGCCUUGAAUCACUAGCCAGUUUAAAACAUUUCUUCUACUCUUGGCUUAAGAAAUUGUAUUUUAUUAUUGUACCAGCAUUAGGUAGUUAACUCCACUUAUGCAUUGACCUCUGCGUGUAGCGGGAAAGUUCGUUAUUUGAGCCCUCGAGAAAUGUUGUAUAGUUGUUCACAUUUCAAUGCCAGGAAACCAUAGCUUUGCAUGGUGCGUGGGAGUGUCUUCCAUUUAUAUUACAUGAAGUGUGAAGUGUGUUGUAAGUUUAUACAGAGAGGACUCCCAUGGUGGGAAUGAUCUGAUGAUGGCCCCACUGCUCUGAUGGACCAAUGCAGGAGAAGUUAUUCUGUAUAAUUAUUACACUAAAUUAAUGUAUGCCACUGUUUGGAUCGGUUUCUGUUCUGCUCAGCUUCUUCCUCCAACUUGCUUACGCAGGCUAAGCUUAUUCUUAAUUAGUUCAUUCUUAGUUCAUUCUAUAGUCUAGUAUUAUUGUCGGUUUGGUUGUUUUAUGUUUUUCACCUGGUCAUACGGAAUCACUUCAUUAAUUUUUAUACAGUGCAGACCACACCUCUAUCCACACAUUGUACCUGCACAUCCUGUAUAUAUGGGGCCACACCCCCACUCACUGUACUGAUAUGUGGUCACACCCCCAUACAUGGUAACCCUCUUGACCACACCUCCACCCAUGCAUUGUGUCGUACAUGCUGUGUUUUUGUGUACAGUACACACAUCAUUCGUGUCUUUGUCCCCACACCUAGUCGGAGGGAGCAGCAAGUUCUACUAAGAGCCAGCAUCACCAACUAACCAACACACUACAAGACCUACCUACUACCAGCUAGGACAGCACACCACCCGGGACAGACUCUACUAUGCAUGAUACAAUUUACACAAUUUUUAUUUCAAUUUUUACAAUUUAUACAUGAUACAAUUUGCUGCCCUCCCUUGCCCAUGGAUUGAAUAAUUAUGGACACUCGCAGGACAACUAAGAGACUGACACACAAUAAUACUGUAUUUUUGCCAUUAUUAUGAUAAAAAUAAUGUAUUAAUUUUUUGCCAUUAAUUUUAUAUAAAAUUAA
Long non-coding RNA from Halichondria panicea, 4135 nucleotides. RefSeq lists it as uncharacterized. The transcript is spliced from 4 exons. NCBI's taxonomy places the organism in Eukaryota, Metazoa, Porifera, Demospongiae, Suberitida, Halichondriidae. The record is from RefSeq and is a predicted model, not a curated record.